Molecule: ribosomal RNA, 492 nt
Filed under: uncultured bacterium
Lineage: Bacteria
Description: bacterial SSU rRNA
Rfam family: Bacterial small subunit ribosomal RNA
Source: RNAcentral
GAUGAACGCUAGCGGCAGGCCUAACACAUGCAAGUCGAGGGGCAUCAUGGCGUAGCAAUACGCUGAUGGCGACCGGCGCACGGGUGCGUAACGCGUAUGGAACCUACCCACCGCAGGGGGAUAACCCGCCGAAAGGCGGACUAAUACCCCAUGGUUCCCCGACCCUGCCUGGGGUUGGGGGUAAAGCCUACGGGCGGCGGUGGAUGGCCCUGCGUGCCAUUAGCUGGCUGGUGGGGUAACGGCCCACCAGGGCGACGAUGGCUAGGGGGUCUGAGAGGACGAUCCCCCACACUGGUACUGAGACACGGACCAGACUCCUACGGGAGGCAGCAGUGAGGAAUAUUGGUCAAUGGGCGAAAGCCUGAUCCAGCCAUGCCGCGUGCAGGAUGAAGGCCUUCGGGUUGUAAACUGCUUUUGUACGGAACGAAAGACUCCUUCUAAUAAAGGGGGUUCAUGACGGUACCGUAAGAAUAAGCACCGGCUAACUACGUG